GGACACCAGUGGUGAGAGCGCGUGGUGAGGAGACAGAUUCUCGCCACGCCACCUGGUAGGAGCGACCUGUCAGGUAGGACGCAAUCCAAGCGUGGGCCGCGCCGGAGAUGCCCAACUCGGAGAGGGUGGAGAGGAGGAUCUGAUGGUUCACAGUAUCGAAGGCAGCCGAUAAGUCUAGAAGGAUGAGAGCAGAGGAGAGAGAGUUAGCUUUAGCGGUGCGGAGCGCCUCCGUGAUACAGAGAAGAGCAGUCUCAGUUGAAUGACUAGUCUUGAAACCUGACUGAUUUGGAUCAAGAAGGUCAUUCUGAGAGAGAUAGCGGGAGAGCUGGCCAAGGACGGCACGUUCAAGAGUUUUGGAGAGAAAAGAAAGAAGGGAUACUGGUCUGUAGUUGUUGACAUCGGAGGGAUCGAGUGUAGGUUUUUUUCAGAAGGGGUGCAACUCUCGCUCUCUUGAAGACGGAAGGGACGUAGCCAGCGGUCAGGGAUGAGUUGAUGAGCGAGGUGAGGUAAGGGAGAAGGUCUCCGGAAAUGGUCUGGAGAAGAGAGGAGGGGAUAGGGUCAAGCGGGCAGGUUGUUGGGCGGCCGGCCGUCACAAGACG
Molecule: long non-coding RNA, 599 nt
Organism: Oncorhynchus keta (chum salmon)
Lineage: Eukaryota; Metazoa; Chordata; Actinopteri; Salmoniformes; Salmonidae
Exons: 3
Source: RefSeq, a predicted model, not a curated record